RNAcentral lists this ribosomal RNA (333 nucleotides) under uncultured bacterium. RNAcentral describes it as "bacterial SSU rRNA". It matches the Rfam family "Bacterial small subunit ribosomal RNA", at positions 568 to 898 of the family's 1533-position model. The record is from RNAcentral.
CGUGUAGGCGGUUGGGCAAGUCAGAUGUGAAAGCCUUCCGCUCAACGGAAGAAGGGCAUUUGAAACUACCCGGCUAGAGUACGGGAGAGGAGAGUGGAAUUCCCGGUGUAGAGGUGAAAUUCGUAGAUAUCGGGAGGAACACCAGUGGCGAAGGCGGCUCUCUGGUCCGAUACUGACGCUGAGACGCGAAAGCGGUGGGGAGCAAACAGGAUUAGAUACCCUGGUAGUCCACGCCGUAAACGAUGGGCACUAGGUGUAGGAGGUAUUGACCCCUUCUGUGCCGAAGCUAACGCAUUAAGUGCCCCGCCUGGGGAGUACGGCCGCAAGGCUAAA